RNAcentral lists this ribosomal RNA (425 nucleotides) under uncultured bacterium. Its description in RNAcentral is "bacterial SSU rRNA". It matches the Rfam family "Bacterial small subunit ribosomal RNA", at positions 355 to 772 of the family's 1533-position model. The record is from RNAcentral.
UGGGGAAUAUUGGACAAUGGGGGAAACCCUGAUCCAGCCAUUCCGCGUGAGUGAAGAAGGCCUUCGGGUUGUAAAGCUCUUUUGUCCGGAACGAAACGGCUACGACUAAUACUCGUGGCUACUGACGGUACCGGAAGAAUAAGCACCGGCUAACUACGUGCCAGCAGCCGCGGUAAUACAGAGAGUGCGAACGUUGUUCGGAAUUACUGGGCUUAAAGCGCACGUAGGCGGCAUCGUAAGUGUCUGGUGAAAUCCCACGGCUCACCCGUGGAACUGCCAGGCAUACUGUGAUGCUCGAGUGUGGUAGGGGAGAGCGGAACUCCUGGUGGAGCGGUGAAAUGCGUAGAUAUCAGGAGGAACACCGGUGGCGAAGGCGGCUCUCUGGUCCACAACUGACGCUGAGGUGCGAAAGCUAGGGGAGCAAA